This is an RNA transcript of Sander lucioperca (pikeperch), 4940 nucleotides long. It is a transcript of the gene named serine/threonine kinase 32A, with no coding region annotated. The transcript has 14 exons. Lineage: Eukaryota; Metazoa; Chordata; Actinopteri; Perciformes; Percidae. The record is from RefSeq and is a predicted model, not a curated record.
CAGUCCCGCAGCUACAGCAGAUCAGCCUGACCAGCCUACGAAACGUGCCUCUCCAGACGCACGGUGGUGGCCAGGCCAGCGCAUUACACAGGCGGCUAUGUGGAGGUCAGUCUCUCAUCAGUGCAACGCACCGAGCAGUUUCCCCCCCCUAAACCCCAUCUCUGCUGCCUUUGUCCUCUUCUGUCCUGCAGAAUCAAGGGAUUUCGCAUUGCACUCGGUCGGCGCAUUCCCGCAAGUCACUUCUCGCUGUGUGAUUCCAUUCUUUGGGUGGCAGGUGUCCCGGUGCGUCGACGUCCUAACACCAGACAAGUGAUGCUCUGAGCUGUACUAUUGCUCUCCUGUCGCCUCACAUCUCUGCAGCAAACCGGGCUGGAAAUGGUCCCAUGCUCAACUAACCGGCGGCGUUCAGAGGUUAGACUCUCAGUCAACAGAGGGUCACAGCUACAAACACAUCACCCACCCUCUUCCUCCUGCCUGGCGAAAGUCGUACGUCUGCUGCCUGCAUUCAUCUAAACAGCAGUGAAGACAGACAGGAAACUUACACUGUAGUAGUACAGUACUGCCUGGAGUGUGUGUGUGUGUGUGUGUGUGUGUGUGUGUGUGUGUGUGUGUGCUUAAGUGGCUUUACUGUUCCCCAAGCCCUCCACUCUGUGUGUGCAAUGAUGUGUGGUUGUGUCAAGGUGGAGAGUUAAGAGGAAAACAGGACCCGUUCAAGUCAGCAAAACCAAGCCAGCUGCUGCGUAUGUGUGUGUGUCAGGGUUGAGCAGUCCAGCACGUGAGACAGUGUGUGUGUGUGUGUGUGUGUGUGUGUUUGUGUGAGGGGCUAGGGUUGACCAGGCUAUGAGUGCGUCUCAGAGGGAGAGGCCGUUCGAUGCUGAGUCGAGCUAAGGGAGCAGAACAGGAGAAUCUGAAAGAGGAGCAGCCAUGGGGCUCGGACAGUCCAGCAAGGCUCCAGUCACCGAGGACACAGACGAGGUGAAUUUCGACCACUUCCAGAUCCUGAGGGCAAUAGGAAAAGGAAGCUUCGGAAAAGUCUGCAUUGUACAGAAGAAGGACACUAAGAAGAUGUACGCCAUGAAGUACAUGAACAAGCUGAAAUGCGUGGAGCGGAACGAAGUGAGGAAUGUCCUGAAAGAGCUGCAGAUAAUGCAGAACCUUGAACAUCCUUUCCUGGUCAACUUCUGGUAUUCCUUCCAGGAUGAGGAGGACAUGUUUAUGGUGGUGGACUUGCUCUUGGGAGGAGACCUGCGCUAUCACCUCCAGCAGAACGUCCACUUCUCAGAGAGCACGGUCAAACUCUACAUCUGUGAACUGUCCCUGGCCCUGGGAUACCUACGUACCAAGCGCAUCAUACACAGAGACAUCAAACCUGACAACAUACUACUGGAUGAAAAUGGGCAUGUCCAUCUAACAGACUUCAACAUCGCAGCCAUUGUAAAAGAAGACCUAAAAGCAACGUCCAUUGCUGGGACCAAGCCGUACAUGGCUCCUGAGCUGUUCCAAACCUUCGAGGGGUUCCACCCUGGCUACUCCUUCUCAGUCGACUGGUGGUCACUGGGCAUCACAGCCUAUGAGCUACUAAGAGGACAGAGACCAUAUGUAAUGAGAUCCAGUACACCAGCUAAUGAGAUCCUUCAGACCUUCCACAAGGUCUAUCCCAGCUACCCAGCAGCCUGGUCUCUGGAGAUGAAGUCUCUACUCAGAAAGUUGUUGUGCAUAGAUGUCAAGCAGCGCAUUUCCUGUCUAGCAGAGCUACAGGAGCUGGACUACAUGUCAGAUGUCAACGUGGACGCUGUGCUCAGCAAACAGAUUCCUCCAGGCUUUAUUCCUAAUAGGCGGAGACUAAACUGUGAUCCUACGUUUGAGCUGGAGGAAAUGAUCCUGGAGUCCAAACCGCUUCACAAGAAGAAGAAAAGGCUUGCUAGAAAAACCAAGGACCAGGGAUCUGAUGGCUCCCCACAGAACGGUCAGUUGCAGCAGAGAUUGGAUAAUGUCCAGAGAGACUUCAUUGUCUUCAACAGAGAAAAGUCAAAGAAAGAAGUGGUGGAGUCCUCUGAGCUGUCCAUGAGUGAGAAGAACAAGGCAAUAGAGGAUGGACAGAACAACAAUGUUGAACAGGCGGCUUACUUAUCAGGAUAGGUCUCAUGAUCGCAGAUCCUUACCUAGUCCCUUAUCACUUGCCCCUGCCCACAGCUUGUAGAUCAGCAAUUUACACCCAGACACCUAUUGUUCUAUCUGCACCUUCCUAUCCUGCACCACUACAUCGCCUAUACAAACACAAAAGCAGUAUGCCCUUGUGCUUCACUGAGUGAACUCGACUCUGAGAGCAGCAGCCAUGCCAGACUGAGGCUUUUGCUUUCUUGUCACAAGAAGAAGGACUCUCAGCAGAGUGUCAUUCAUAUCAUGCUCCCUUACAUCACUCUGGUGCUCUAAGGUCUGCUCAACCUCUACUCUGGGCAGCGUGCUGAAGUGAAAAGGAAGUCUGCCAAAAAGGAGACAAUGCCACACCUGCUCAGCUGUAAUAGGAAAUAAAGUGACGUGGUCAGCUAUGGCUCAAAGCUUUAUGUACUGCUGCUGUUUUGGGCAGGACACUCAGAUUUUUAAUCUCAGCGAUGCAUUUUCUGGUUGAUUAGUUAUUUAAAUAUAACAAUGGUUCACCAGUGCUACAUGGGAAUGGACUUAACAAGAAUUGGCAUAAUGAGUUGGGUUAGCAACACAUAUUGAAAAACAAACACUUGGGUGGACAGCUUGAGAUUCGAGCAUGACACUAAGAGUACAACACAUUAAAACAGAGGUUAGUAAGGCAAAAUGAGACCUUUGUUUUUAAGACAGCAACCACAGAUUCCUCUAAGAUAGAAAAUGAAGAGCUGAACUGUAGGCUUGAGCGUGAAUGGGUCACUUUAUCAUAGCAGCAAAAACAUUGUUGUAGUGGUCAUUAUGCUUAGCUUUGAUAGUCAAGCUAACAAAGAUGGUAGGAUUGCAACAUUUGGUACAAUGCCCCAGCUCCAUCAGCUGCAGAUAUAGGCAAAACGUGUUUUCUUCACUUGCGUAUGCUUUAAGUUACUAUUGAAAAAAACAAUUUGAAAAUUUAAAAUGCACUUAAACAAUUGUUUUAAGGUUAACCUUUAAUGUCCAUUCAUGACCGUGGAAGCUUAUAUGAAGUUGCUUAGUUAAGGCCAACGGGAGCGGUUGAACGCUCCGGGCACAACAAGUAAGUGGACCUUCUGAUGAUUUUUUGUCAAACUAGUUUUCCUUUAAAACACUGACACUGGCUAACCUUUCCCUCAAUCUGCAAAUGACCUACAGGGUCUUCAAAAAAAGGUUUAUAGCUAUGAAAACUUAGAAAAGGGUAGAUGUUAUAGGUUUUGCACUGAACCUUGCUUUGCACAUGCUUCUUCAUCAACUGUAGCAUUUAUACACAGAGACAUAAAAAAUCUAAAGCUGUGAGUGACUACUUAUUCCCUUAGGGGUGGUUUAAUAGACAAGGAUUAAUAGGCUGAGUCCUAUAUAAGAUUUAUUUUUCAGUUACUGUCUGCAUUGGAACUUAUUUUUGUCAAAUAUUUUAUGUCCUUCCUCUAUUGUGUUGAAUACAACCAAUUACGUGUGCCACCAGAUAAGUCUGUAAAUUUGUAUUCGCAAUGAAUUGCUCCCAUAGAAGAAUACGUUCUGCAACAACAUUCUUAUACAGAUGGUAUUCAACAGUAAUUUAGCACCAGCUGGAUAACACAUUGGGAAAAACAAAACAAAACAAACAAUGACGGAAACAAAUAAACAACCACAGGCCAUGCAAUACUCCUUGUUCAUUCGAUUUAAGAUUUACUGUAAGAAACCACACCUGCCUCUGAAGAUGCAGAGGGAUGCCUUACACCAGGGGUCAGCAACCUUAGACAUGCGUGCCACCAUUAGCAUGCGGUAGCUCAACCAAUGGCACACUUAUUGCAAGUGUGCCAUUGGUUGAGCUACCGCAAGAGUGUGUUUUGGAAAUGUUCCAAUCCACAUCCUAAAUGACCAUCACAGCCAUUGGCAUGCAGGAGCACAUCCUGGUAUUUACAGUAGUUUAUUUGACUUUUUCCCCAUCCGCAUUCCGCGAAGACCCGGCCCUCUGAUUGGCUAGUACUCAUUGCCUUCUUCACAGAAUGCGGCACAAAGGGGAAAAAAAACUGCCUGAGCGAGCUCGGUUAAUGACGGCAGGCUUAAUGCUGAUAUGGCACUAAGAAGAACAUUUUAAAAUGACACCUCAUAAUAAAAAGGUUGCCGAGCCCUGCCUUACACCAGAAUUAUGGCACACAGCUGGUCCAUUUAAACUAUAAAUGUAGGUAGUACAAACCUAAGCUUUUUUUCAAAAUCAUUAAGUAAAUGUGUAGUCAUUCUAUUGACCUUGAUCUUAUCUAUCUGCAAUACAAUUACUGUUGGCACUUUUCUAUUGAAAAUUGGUACAAUAUUUUGACUCAACUUUGUGUUGUUGUUGUUGUUGUUGUUAUUGUUGUUAUGAUGUAAUUUUACAGAUCCAAAAGUGGUUUCCUGUAUAAGUUGUAAGAUAUAGUGGGAUAGUUAAACAGAUGGAGUGAUCCUGGGUAUAACCGGGGUGAAUUAUAUUUGUGUAUGAUUAUCUUACUUUGUUCAUACAAUAGGAGUACCAGAUGGGUUGGGUUAAUUGCGAUAAUUAUCUGUUAUGGCAGAUUCAACCAUUCCAAAAAGUUAACAUACAAAAUAAUAAUUGACAAAUAAUAUUUGACCCAGGUAAUACCACUUUUCAACAAAACGUAUCUGCCUAAAAGAAAUGAUUUAGUCUGGAAAAAGAUUUGUUCCACAGCUGUUAAUUUCAUUCAUAUUAAGGUUUUGUUGUCCUUCAGUAGUCACUGUGUGUAUAUUGUAUUUAAAUGUGAUGGAGUUGCAAACUAUUAAGGUGUGCCUUAAAUGACUUUCUUUUUCUGAACAAA